RNAcentral lists this ribosomal RNA (468 nucleotides) under uncultured bacterium. Its description in RNAcentral is "partial 16S ribosomal RNA". It matches the Rfam family "Bacterial small subunit ribosomal RNA", at positions 28 to 507 of the family's 1533-position model. The record is from RNAcentral.
GACGAACGCUGGCGGCGUGCUUAACACAUGCAAGUCGAACGGAAAGGCCCUGCUUUUGUGGGGUGCUCGAGUGGCGAACGGGUGAGUAACGCGUGAGUAACCUGCCCUUGACUUUGGGAUAACUUCAGGAAACUGGGGCUAAUACCGGAUAGGAGCUCCUGCUGCAUGGUGGGGGUUGGAAAGUUUCGGCGGUUGGGGAUGGACUCGCGGCUUAUCAGCUUGUUGGUGGGGUAGUGGCUUACCAAGGCUUUGACGGGUAGCCGGCCUGAGAGGGUGACCAGCCACAUUGGGACUGAGAUACGGCCCAGACUCCUACGGGAGGCAGCAGUGGGGAAUAUUGCACAAUGGGCGGAAGCCUGAUGCAGCAACGCCGCGUGCGGGAUGACGGCCUUCGGGUUGUAAACCGCUUUCGCCUGUGACGAAGCGUGAGUGACGGUAAUGGGUAAAGAAGCACCGGCUAACUACGUG